This is a non-coding RNA of Pelobates cultripes (western spadefoot toad), 207 nucleotides long. NCBI's taxonomy places the organism in Eukaryota, Metazoa, Chordata, Amphibia, Anura, Pelobatidae. The record is from the annotation of a GenBank genome assembly.
CAUGCAGUAUGUAUUACGCACUCACAUAUUUACCCUUAAAAGUGAGUCUGUGUUAUAUUGUAUUAUGUCAUAUGAGAGCAUGGUUUAAAAUUGUUUCUAUUAUCAUUACAAGUCACACCAAAGGUGAAAGACACGAUAAAAGCUUUAUAGAAAUGACAACAAAGUCACCCCUUUCUAAACCCGUCCAUGAUAGCUUUAUGUUUAUAC